Molecule: ribosomal RNA, 265 nt
Filed under: uncultured Acidovorax sp.
Lineage: Bacteria; Pseudomonadati; Pseudomonadota; Betaproteobacteria; Burkholderiales; Comamonadaceae
Description: partial 16S ribosomal RNA
Rfam family: Bacterial small subunit ribosomal RNA
Source: RNAcentral
UACAUUCAGUUGGGCGACUCUAAUGAGACUGCCGGUGGACAAACCGGAGGAAGGUGGGGAUGACGUCAAGUCCUCAUGGCCCUUAUAGGUGGGGCUACACACGUCAUACAAUGGAAUGGGUACAAAGGGUCGCCAACCCGCAGGGGGAGCCAAUCCCAUAAAGCCAUUCGUAGUCCGGAUCGCAGUCUGCAACUCGACUGCGUGAAGUCGGAAUCGCUAGUAAUCGUGGAUCAGAAUGUCACGGUGAAUACGUUCCCGGGUCCUU